Molecule: ribosomal RNA, 471 nt
Filed under: Triticum aestivum (bread wheat)
Lineage: Eukaryota; Viridiplantae; Streptophyta; Magnoliopsida; Poales; Poaceae
Description: partial small subunit ribosomal RNA
Source: RNAcentral
AUGUCCGUCUAUGCUGCGCACUUUGCCGCUUCCUCUAGGAGCAGCUUCGAUGAGACCAUUUGGAAGGCUAAAGCCCCGCUCAAGUGCAAGCUCCACCUUUGGCUUGUGUCGCGCAAGAGAAUCUGGACGGCCAAUCGCCUUGCCAAGAGAGGUCUCCCUCAUAAGAAGCAAUUUGCCAUGUGCAGUUUCGUGCCUGAGGACUGCAGUCAUCUCUUCGCCGGCUGCGCCGUCACCAAUAUAAUUUGGAAUUCCAUCCUCCAAUGGGCUAACUUACAGGCGUUUGUCCCCACCAUGGACCAGGGCCUCGUGUCAUGGGGGAUCGCUGCUAGGGAAGCUUACCACGGCAAGGACAGGAAGAGGCUUGAUUGUCGUGGUAGAAAGGAAUGCUUGUGUUUUUUAAAGUACUUUAUUGUGAUCUGCGCCAUAACUUGGUAUUAUAAUUUGCAUAAACCACACAGUUAUAUAAAGUAA